RNAcentral lists this ribosomal RNA (377 nucleotides) under uncultured eukaryote. RNAcentral's name for it is "partial 18S ribosomal RNA". It matches the Rfam family "Eukaryotic small subunit ribosomal RNA", at positions 592 to 976 of the family's 1831-position model. The record is from RNAcentral.
CAAUAGCGUAUAUUGAAGUUGUUGCAGUUAAAAAGCUCGUAGUUGGAUUUCGGGGCAGCCUGGCUGGUCCGCCGCAAGGCGAGUACUGGUCAGCCGCCCUUCCUCUCGAAAGCCCCGACUGCUCUUCGUUGCAGUGGUCGGGUAGUUCGGGACGUUUACUUUGAAAAAAUUAGAGUGUUCAAGGCAGGCCUACGCCUGAAUACAUUAGCAUGGAAUAAUGGAAGAGGACCUCGGUCCUAUUUUGUUGGUUUCCAGGGCCGAAGUAAUGAUUAAGAGGGACAGUUGGGGGCAUUCGUAUUUAAUUGUCAGAGGUGAAAUUCUCGGAUUUAUGAAAGACGAACAACUGCGAAAGCAUUUGCCAAGGAUGUUUUCAUUGA